CUUCUUCAUUUAUUAAGGUUCUGAUAUCUACUUCCGGCAUGCCAACAAUCACUUCUUGUUUACAUAUUAUAUUGCUUACUGGGCCAAUACAGUCAAGCCUAAACAGCUUGUGAACAUACAAUCUCUUAUAUUUACAUUUGUACAAUUUCUACAACCAGCUCCUCAUAGCAUUCUCCUCAGAUCACUACAACAUAAUAAACAAAGUAGCAGCACACAAGAAGCGUGAUAUUUGGUAGAUCAAAUAUCAGAAUGGAUAUGUAUACACAUUCAACCCAAAGGAUGAGAUAACUAAAUGUAAUGCUUCUUAGGGUAUGUUCACAAUACAGAACAAUGAAUUGUUGCUUUUUUCCAUGAAUUUUCCUGCAGAAAAGAGAGCCCAUUGACUUUUAACCACUGGAUUCCGCCAUCAUUUUAAAUCCACGUCGGGGAAACCCUAUAGCAAGACUUCCGCUGUGUGAACGCAGCCAAGGAAAAUAAAUUGAAGUGAAUGCGAUGCAACAGGGAACUCCUUGUGGAACUCCUUGCGGAUUCUGCCUUGAAUUUCUGUAGUGUGAACGAGCCCUUAUCUACCCAGGUAGUGUCAAACCUACCCAAUCAGUGCUGCUUUUCUGCCAGACUGGAGUCAUAAGAACAGCAGAUCGUACCUAAUGUUGUUGAGCUUCUGUACAUCCUAUAGAAAAAUAAAUAUAUAAUGGAACGAGCCAGUAAAUAUUUUAAGAUAUGGAAGAAAUAGUGAACCUUAGCACAAAUAUUAGGAAACUGCAUUUAUAUCAAUUCCUUCAACUGGAAGUGGGACAGUUUUGACCAAUAGGUGGAAACAGAUUAAUGGAAAACAAAUCCCCUACAUAAUCUAAAAUAGGUUUAUUAAGAGUUUACAGCUCCUGCAUUUAGUCAGCGGCGAGAGGAAUAAGGUUAUUAUGUUUGUUAAAAACAGCUCUUUUCUUUAUUUUACUGUUUAUAGGGAGAACAGCCUCAGAAAUUCAGUACCCCUGCUCUCCCCUAUUAGGCCAGGUUCACACCACGUUUUUGCAAUACAGUUCCCGUCUCAGGUUUUUGAUAAAAAAAACGGAUUCCUCAAAACCUAACAAAACUGUUUCAAAACGUGUACAAAUUUUAAUCCGUAUACGGUUUGAAAAAUUAUGUCCGGAUGCACUAAAAGUAUACGGUUUGAAAAAUUAUGUCCGGAUGCACUGUUUUUUUAAAGAAAAAAACGUAUGUGUCUUUAACUUUCCAGUCCAUUGUGAAUAAAGUUUCACUUGUUUGAUUGAAAUUCCAAGAAAAAUAAACUGUGCAAAGUCAAAAACCGUAUGGUGAAAAACGGAUGGAACCGUACGCACAUACGGUUCUUUAUAGUCCCCAUUGACUCCCAUGUUAAAAAUAUGUUUCAAUAUGGUUUUUCACCUGGACCAAAAACCGUGGUAGGCUACGGUUUUGGGUACAGGAAAAAACUGACAAAACCGUAAAGGAUGCAUCUUUUGGCAUACGGUUUUCAAUGGAUAGGCAAUGCAUAUGGUUUUCAAUACAGUUCCAUACGGUUUUCAAAUUGAAAACGUGUAUGGGAACUGUAUUGCAAAAACGUGGUGUGAACCCAGCCUUAGUCUAAUCCAGUGUUUCCCAAACAGAGUGUUUCCAGCUUUGGGAAACACUGGUCUAAUCUCUCAGGCUUAAAUAGUCAGUACAUUAGUUAAUAGUUAUAAAUAGUUUAAAAGACUGCUGUAAAUAGAAUUACAUAAUAUAUAAAGAAAAUGUUACUAUAUGUAAAACUUCACUUUAGGAACCAGAUAACCUAGUUCUGACCUAUUAUAC
Long non-coding RNA from Hyla sarda, 1806 nucleotides. RefSeq lists it as uncharacterized. The record is from RefSeq and is a predicted model, not a curated record. The transcript is spliced from 2 exons. NCBI's taxonomy places the organism in Eukaryota, Metazoa, Chordata, Amphibia, Anura, Hylidae.